CAGAAGCUUACGGUUCUCGUCUCGUUCUCUUCGACUCCUCCGUCGAUCGGCUUGGUGUACAUUUCGGAAACUAGAAAGUAUAUCCUAACAAAGUACUAAGUCCCUUCCGUCCGGUACAGAGGGAGGGACGAGGAGCGCAAGGAGACGCCGGAUUAGAAGUAGCGUCCAUAUAAAAUAGAGGUGGUAACUAAGCUAAUAUUCCUUCCACAUGGUUUCGUCUUCGUCUUUGAGCUGGAGAGACUGUUGAGGUAGUAGCCGCGAGAGGGUCACUCACUGGAGUUGGUUACAGUGCCGGAACACGUGGAGUUGUAGAGGGUGUUGGAGUAGUGGCCCAGCGACUUACACAGACCUGACUGGUUCGAAGCCCACGAGCUGCACAGCCGAUUGUCCGAGCUCCCGCCGUAGCGGAAGUUAAAGGGCCGCUAUACGCGAUUGGAAUGGAACGACGUGAACAGGUGGUUGUUGUAGUGUCCAUUGUAGUGGUUGUACAAUCUCCCAACGCGGUCCGACCUCAUGCAGCUGGAGUCGAGCUUGUUGAAGCUGCCGCUCGAGAACGGGCUGCAGCGUUCUAAGUCCUUUAAGUCGUAGCGACUCUUGUUGUAGUGGCCCUCGCAAGGUACCUCGUACAAAGGAUUACCUACGUUCGAGGUCAGGAAUCUGGAGAGACGGUUGGUCGACCACCCCUCGAAGGGCCUAAGGUAACGCUUUACGUGCUUAAACUGCAUGAACAGCGACACCCCCUUAUUAAAGCGACCUUACCAUGGACGGCCUUAACCCUUCGAGCGCAGCGCAGGGAACUCCGCAACCAAGAACCCUUCUUGUCCAAGCUGUCCGUCUAUGGCGUACUCGAUUGUUUGACGCACGCGGAAGUCAAGAACCUGUAGUCAUCUUUAUACAAACCACCGUUGCACCUCCUCUAAAAACCGUUGAAAUACUCGAACUUCAUAGAACACGAAGUGGUGUUGUUGAUGUGACCGCCGUAGCACCGGAGGCCGCACGAGGCUGAUGGUGACGAACGAUCCGAGCUGGAAUCGAAGUUACUCAAGUGGUCGCUAGAGGGUGUUCUCCACCGGUUGUACUUCUCGGAGCUUAUGGACUGCGAGCGACUAUUGUUGAAGAGACCAUCCUAUGGAGGCCUUAUGCCGGCCGAUCGCCUCGAGGUCCGCGACCUGGACAGAUUAUUGUGGGAGAGUCCUCCUUAGGGGCGCUCGUAGCCCUUAGACUGCAGUGAGGAAACCAACUAUGAUCGCCCCUUGGUUGAGAAACCACUCUAUGGCGGACUCUAGCCGAUGACGUGGUCGAACGAGACCGACUUGGACCGCCUGUUGGUCAACUGGCCGUUAUAUGGCGGACUCUACCGUCUCUACCCCUCCUUAGGCCCGGGUUGGAAGCGGUUCUUGGCCUUACUAUGUUCGCACAAGUAACCGAGGUUACUCACAGUUCGGUACUCCGCCACCUAGGGCCGCUCGAUAGUAGGUAAGUCGAAGCAGUUGAGGCAGAACUGACUAGGGUCUUGAUUCUUCUUGAGCCAGUACUGGCCCCCUUUGACGGCGUUGUAUACCCUGGCGUAGGAGUUCCCGAUGUAAUAGCAGGGUUACACGUGGUUGAGCAACAGCCAGCCCAGCGAGGGGCCCAUGCACGUCGACAGUUCCUUGUACGAAAGACCACUCUAUGGCGGCGCCUAACCAUGUUACGCCUUGUAACCAAACGAGAAGGAGCUACCAUUGACAAAGUGCCCCGUUAACGGCGCCCUAUAGCCGGCCGAAGGUGAGCAUCUCGACUUGUAGAGUUCCUUGUUGUACAGCCCCGGCUAGGGCAGGCUCUAACCGCUCAUAGACACAGACCUCUCCUACCUAAACAGGAAGUUGUUGGAGAGACUGCUCGAGGGCUGCUCGGACAAGUUCGAGUGCCUCAACCAAUACAAGUUACAAAGUAUGUUGGGCGAGGAGAGACCAUUAUAGAGGUGGUGACCGGUUAAACCGUGUAAGCUGCUCGUCAGGAAGGAGCCGCUAGGCGAGUAGAGUAACCUAGUCCCACCUGGACGACCUUUCGUUGUUGGUCCUCUCCUUCCAGGGAUACAAUGGCGACAACUCUCCUCGUCGCACGGUUGUUGUUAGGAUUAAAGCAUGAAGAAGAAGGAACAUCAACCGAAGUAAAUACCGUGACAAUCACCACCCACUUUAUUGCCAACUGAUACCCCCGAGGCAUCCUCUAACUCGCAUACACAUUUGUGCUUACAGUUAAACUCCCCCUUAGUUGAGAUGUUUGAUCGUUCCACUUCGUUUUUUCGUUUCUUGAACUACGUUUUCUUUCUUUUAUUUCAAAAGUAUUCUUGUGACCACAUAGGGUUCGAAACUGUGUAAACACACUAGGUUACAGAAAU
This 2383-nucleotide ribosomal RNA is filed under the name Triticum aestivum (bread wheat). RNAcentral's name for it is "partial small subunit ribosomal RNA". Lineage: Eukaryota; Viridiplantae; Streptophyta; Magnoliopsida; Poales; Poaceae. The record is from RNAcentral.